This is a long non-coding RNA of Anolis carolinensis (green anole), 6710 nucleotides long. RefSeq lists it as uncharacterized. The record is from RefSeq and is a predicted model, not a curated record. The transcript is spliced from 2 exons. Lineage: Eukaryota; Metazoa; Chordata; Lepidosauria; Squamata; Anolidae.
GCUGGCUGGGCCUGGAGCCCCCUCGACAAGGAAAGCAAUUCAGCAGGAAAAGAAAAAUAGGAGCGGAGUCACUCGGCACCCAUCAUGGGAAGCAAAGCUAACGGGAACAGGCAGGAGCAUUCAACAUCUAUCUCUGACUGUUUUAGAUAAACAGUUUUACCAUCCUUGUGGAAGGCUUCUCUCAUGUCCCCACAUGGAGCUGGAGCUAACAGAGGGAGCUCAUCCGCACUCUCCCCGGGUUGGAUUCGAACCUGGCAGCCUUCAGGUCAGCAACCCAACCUUCAAGUCGCAAGGCUUUAACCCACUACACCACCGGUGGCAUCUCCUGGGCAACGUCCUUGCAGACAGCCCAUUCUCUCACACCAGAAGCGACUUGCAGUUUCUCAAGUCGCUCCUGACAUGAAAAAAAAGAUAAACAGUAGAUUUUGUUUCUCUAAGGAUUCCUCUUUCUUUACCAACAGCAUUUGUUGCCUUUUCUAUAACGAAGAAUAUCUGUGGAACACCUUUUGAAUAUCUGCAUUAUCAGCAAUUAUCUCUUUCCCCUCUUGUAUCUUUAUUUCUCUCUCUCUCUCUGUUUCUUUUUAUAACUUAAACGCCAACAAUCUCCCUGGCAUAUUUGCAAAUUCAACGUUCUUUGGCUUUUGCAUAAUGCAUUUUUUUUUCUCUCGAUCUCAAGUCACAGUUAGCACUGAUAGCCGUCUCUGUAAAAUUUUAAUAUAUGAUUCAUCACAGCCAUUUUUUGAAGGAGAUUUCUCUAAUUCUUCUACCAGAUGCAUCUUGUAUAUAUUUUGGCAUAAUGAGACACAGGCGGUAUUUAUAUUUUGAGAUACUGAAACCCCAUCUGAUAAUUUCAACUCGGUCUUUUCAUUCACAUUUUUUUUCGAAUAUAUGACUUCCAGUGCUAACUUCAUUAUUUGGAUUUAAAGAGAUUGAUGAUGCACAUAAAUUUUUGCUUAUCUUGCAGAAUGAAGACAGCUUGACGCCACUUUAAAUGGCGUGUCUAAAUGUCAUGGAAACACGGGAGUUGUGGUUUUACAAGGUCGUGAGCCUUCUCUGCCAAACUACAACUCCUAUUCCAACAAAAGAAAAUGACAAGCAGUUUUCUCUCACAAUUGUGUGUCUCUAUGGCAAGGACAUCCUCUUGCAUCUGCCCUCCAAGGUUUCGUGAGCAAGCAUGCAAAUGACCUGACCGGAGGCUGCUUGGUUUAAAUAUAGGCAGUGCCAGGAGGGCAUCCGGCGUGGCACAUGGAGAAGAGACAAACACAGAGAUGGAAACACCCCUCGAAAACACCGCGAGUUUGCUUCUGAAUUCUUCUGGAGUGGCCACAUGCUCAUAUGCUCAAUGCUUCUUGGCUUGAUGACAAUUAGGGGAGACAAUGUCAGCCAAUUUGUCAUCAGGUGGAUUGCAGGCCUCUCUAAUGCUAUAUAUUCAACGUUCUCAUAGGUGCAAUCUGCACUGAUUCUGGUAGAAUAGAAUCCCACUUACACGACUUCCGCUAAUUAUAAUAUUAUAAUGGAAUACAAUAUUAUACUACUAAUAAUGCAAUAUAAUUAUAUUAAUUAUAUAUUAUAUAUUAAAUGUAAUAUUACUAAUAAUAUUACCAUAUAAUGAUAUAGUACAAUAUAGUAAUUUAAUGCUUAUAUUGUGCUAUGCUAAUAAUAUAUUGUAUGUUCAUUUGAUUUGUAAGCCGCUCUGAGUCCCCUUUGGGGUGAGAAGAGAGGGAUAUAAAUGUAGUAAAUAUUACUAUUUACUAUAAAAUUAUUACUAAUAAUAUUACCAUAUAAUGAUAUAGUACAAUAUAGUAAUUUAAUGCUUAUAUUGUGCUAUGCUAAUAAUAUAUUGUAUGUUCAUUUGAUUUGUAACCUGCUCUGAGUUCUCACCGCGGGGUAAGAAGAGCGGGAUAUAAAUGUAGUAAAUAUUACUAUUUACUAUAAAAUUAUUACUAAUAAUAUUACCAUAUAAUGAUAUAGUACAAUAUAGUAAUUUAAUGUUCAUAUUGCGUUAUGCUAAUAAUAUAUUGUAUGUUCAUUUGAUUUGUAAGCCGCUCUGAGUCCUCUUCGGGGUAAGAAGAGCAGGAUAUAAAUGUAGUAAAUAAAUAUUACUAAUAAUAUUACCAUAUAAUGAUGUAGUACAAUAUAGUAAUUUAAUGCUUUAACAACACAACCGUUCAAUGCUAAGGCUUCCCCAUCUGCACAGGGUUCCACACUUCGCACUUUAACAACACAACCGUUCAAUGCUAAGGCUUCCCCAUCUGCACAGGGUUCCAUACUUCGCACUUUAACAACACAACUGUUCAAUGCUAAGGCUUCCCCAUCUGCGCAGGGUUCCACACUUCGUACUUUAACAACACAACCGUUCAAUGCUAAGGCUUCCCCAUCUGCGCAGGGUUCCAUACUUUGCACUUUAACAACACAACCGUUCAAUGCUCAGGCUUCCCAUCAAAUGGAACUGAUCUUUGUAGGUUCGACCUAUUUGCCGACUUAGCAUAGACCCACAGGUAUGCCUUCUCAGUAUUAUACUUAGCACUUUAAUGCCUUCAUCAGUUGGGCAACUACCCCUCCCUGAUGACUCUGACAUAUUUUGCACUUUGGCCCAGAUCUGUGAUUUUAACUCAUGUUUUUAACACCUUAUUUUGUAUGUUGACCUUUUAUGACUGUUCAAUGCUAAGGCUUCCUUCCAAAUGGAACUGUAGAGGAGAGUCUACUGAACGAGUGAGUACCUGCCACAGACCAGGACUGCCAUCUGUUGAGGAUUAUGAAGGUGGAGGCAUUACUUUUCAUUCAACCCUCGUAAUAUGAAAUAUUUUGUGGUGGCUUAGUCUUUUUUGGGCAACUAAGUCCCACCAGCCUUACAAGAGACCGGCUUCUGAUCUGAAGUUGGAAUUGCUACUGUGGUUCAAAUGCCCACUGGCUCCACUGGCUAGGAAAUUCUUGGGAGUUGUAGUUGAGUGACCAGGGUGAGUGUAGGAUUAGGUCUACUCAUUGCUGAAGGGAAAACUAAAUCCUUUAGGCAUAUCAUAGGCCGGGCUAGAGCACAGGAAGAAAGGAAGCAUGUACAAAUGAUCUCUCAGUCACUUGCAUUCCAACUUUCCUGCUGUGUCAUUGAGAAACUGCACACUUUGAGGAGCAUCAAAUGUGUUUGAGUCUAAAUCCAUCAGCCGGCCGGGGCCCUGUUUCCAUGGCAACAGGGCUAGGUGACAGCUACCCCGGCCGUGACAAUCGCCAUCGCCUUCUUUUGCACAACCGCCACCCAAGAGUCAGUGGGCUGAAAUGUCUGCCACAGCUGCCUGUGUGAGAGCUAAUGGAGGCUUCUCCAUCAUCGCCAAGCCAUCUCUACAACAACUAGCCAUGUUUGGUCGCUACAACCAUCUGCUUUCCAGACUCCUCCUCUCCCCCCCCCCCCACACACACACACACAAACCCAGACAACAUGUAGCCGGGAGCGAGUGGGUGGGUGGUCUCAGCCCAAGUGACGGUGCGUGUGGGUGUUGUUGUUGUGCGUCUACAUGGGAAAAGAAAACUUGGAGAGACUUCUUGACGUAAGCGAGAACCAUUUGGCACUCCUCGUGAGACGAAGGGCGUGUUCGUGGAGGGGUUAUGUAAACUGAAACUGUCUGGUUGCUGUCGGGAUACUAAAACACAUUGCCGUCGGGGCCUUACACACACACACACAAAAGGCAAACAGAGAAGGGUUAGAUUUGCACAGGGAUGGAGUGACAAGGUUUAAGGCACAUUACCUAUAUGCAAACAGCCCUGAAUCUGCAAAGCUGGCAGGAGCCAAGGCUCCAGUGUUUGUAAUCCAUGAAUAGAGCCUCAAACAGAAAAGCAUCUUAGUUUUGGCCUCCCAGAAUCUCAUUUUUAUCCCUGCUGCUACCAUCCCAGUAUAUGUCACUGCUCCAGAACUGGUUCUGAAAGAGUAGCGGAAGUUCUCUGGGAUUUCAGAGAACGCUCUUUCUCAGCCUACUAAGAAAAAACAGAGUCUGGACCUAGGGCUUUCUCCCUCCAAAACAGAUGCUCUGGUGCUCUAGAUCCUCUCUAAUUGCAAGCUGCAUUAUAACCUCUAGAUCAGGGGUCCCCAAACUUUUUAAGCAGAGGGUCAGUCCACAAUCCUUCAGACUGUUGAGGGGCCGAAUUAUCAUUUGAAAAAACAAAAAACAAAUUCCUUUGCAUACUGCACAUGUCUUAUUUGUAGUGCAACAACAACAACAAUGAAAGAACAAUACAAUAUUUAAAAAUGAAAACAAUUUUUACCAACAUAAACCUCUUAGGAUUUCAAUGGAAAGGGUGGGCCUGCUAAUGGCCAAUGAGAUAGCCAAGUUAAUUAGGAUUGUUGUUGUUGUUGUUGUUGUUGUUGUUGUUGUUGUUGUUGUUGUUGUGUGCCUUCAGGUCAUGUCAGCCGAGCCUAAGUCUAAAAUUAAUUAUUUAUUUACUGCAUUUAUUUACUACAUUUAUAUCCCACCCUUCUCACCCCGAAGGGGACUCAGAGCAGCCGUAUGUACAUACAAUAUAUUAUAUUAUUAGCAUAACACAAUAUUAGCACUAUAUAUUACUAUAUUGAACUACACCACUAUACUAUUAUAUAAUAUGUAAUAUAUAUAUACAGUAGAGUCUCACUUAUCCAAGCUAAAUGGGCCGGCAGAAGCUUGGAUAAGCGAAUAACUUGGAUAAUAAGAAGGGAUUAAGGAAAAGCCUAUUAAACAUCAAAUUAGGUUAUGAUUUUACAAAUUAAGCACCAAAACAUCCUGUUAUACAGCAAAUUGGACAGAAAAGGUAGUUCAAUACGCAGUAAUGUAUUUACGAAUUUAGCAUCAAAAUAUCAUGAUAUAUUCAAAACAUUGACUACAAAAAUGGCUUGGAUUAUCCAGAGGCUUGGAUAAGCGAGGCUUGGAUUAGUGAGACUCUACUGUAACAUAUAAUUAAUAUUAUUAUAUGGUACAGUAUUACUAUUAGUAUUAUAUUGUAUAGCAUAAGAUUAUUAUUAAUAUUAUAUGUAUAUACAAUAUAUUAUUAAAACUGAUGUAAAAAUAUUAUAUUAUAAAACUGAGGGCGGGGGCCAGGUAAAUGACCUUGGAGGGCCGCAUCCGGCCCCCGGGCCUUAGUUUGGGGACCCCUGCUCUAGAUCAUCUCUAUGAGGGUUGAAUGAAAAGUAAUGCCUCCACCUUCGUAAUUCCUCAACAGAUGGCAGUCCUAGUACGCAGCAGGCCCUAGCUUGUUCAGUAGACUCUCCUCUACAGUUAAUAAUAAUAAUAAUAAUAAUAAUAAUAAUAAUAAUAAUAAUAAUAAUAAUAAUAACUUUAUUCUUAUACCCCGCCCCAUCUCCCCGAAGGGACUCGGGGUGGCUUACAUGGGGCCAUGCCCAAACACCACAAUAUAAAAGCAAACAAAACAAUAAAGCAAAUCACUCAACAAUAAAAACAACAAUAUCGAUAAAAACAGUCAUAAAAGGUCAACAUACAAAAUAAGGUGUUAAAAACAUGAGUUAAAAUCACAGAUCUGGGCCAAAGUGCAAAAUAUGUCAGAGUCAUCAGGGAGGGGUAGUUGCCCAACUGAUGAAGGCAUUAAAGUGCUAAGUAUAAUACUGAGAAGGCAUACCUGUGGGUCUAUGCUAAGUCGGCAAAUAGGUCGAACCUACAAAGAUCAGUUCCAUUUGAUGGGAAGCCUGAGCAUUGAACGGUUGUGUUGUUAAAGUGUGAAGUAUGGAACCCUGCCAGAUGGAGAAGCCUUGGCAUUGAACGGUUGUGUUGUUAAAGUGCAAUGUAUGGAGCCCGGCACAGACGGGGAAGCCUGAGCAUUGAACGGUUGUGUUGUUAAAAUGUGAAGUAUGGAACCCUGUGCAGAUGGGGAAGCCUUAGCAUUGAACGGUUGUGUUGUUAAAGUGCAAAGUAUGGAGCCCGGAACAGACGGGGAAGCCUUAGCAUUGAACGGUUGUGUUGUUAAAGUGUGAAGUAUGGAACCCUGCCAGACGGAGAAGCCUUAGCAUUGAACGGUUGUGUUGUUAAAGUGCAAAGUAUGGAGCCCGGCACAGACGGGGAAGCCUGAGCAUUGAACGGUUGUGUUGUUAAAGUGCAAAGUAUGGAAUCCUGCGCAGACAGGGAAGCCUUAGCAUUGAACGGUUGUGUUGUUAAAGUGCCAAAUAUGGAACCCUGCGCAGACGGUCGGUCAAUGCAACUUAAGCAACGUGCAAUUCUUGACAGCAGAAGGUGUCACCGCAAAGGAGAUUCAGGAGAGAAUGCAAGCUGUUUGUGGUGAUUGUGUUGAUGUGAGUACUGUGUGUCAUUGGGCGAGUAAGUUUAAAGAUGUUGAGGUGGGAACAUCUGACUUGCGUGACAAACAAAGAGUUGGACGUCCUGUGACAGCAACCACUGAAUUUUACAAGCAAAAGUUUGACAGAUUGAUUCAGGACGAUUGUUGUAUCCCUCAGAGAGAAAUUUCAAGCAUCAUUGACAUUUCACAAGAAUGAGUGGGUCACAUUAUUGCUUUGCUUGGCUAUCGGAAGAUCUGUGCAUGAUGGGUCUUGUGAGACACUGGUUGUGGAAACCGAGUGUCGACUUCUUCCAUGACGGCUUCAGAAAACAUGUUCAUUGUUGGCAGAAAUGUAUCCAAUUGUCUGGUGAUUGUGUGGAAAAGUGAAAAGUGAUUGUUAAAGAGUACAUUCUAAGGGUUAUUUCUGUGUUGGAUUUAUUAAAAUAUUCCCAUCCAAACCCAAGUAA